This 376-nucleotide ribosomal RNA is filed under the name Nematoda sp. RNAcentral's name for it is "SSU rRNA". It matches the Rfam family "Eukaryotic small subunit ribosomal RNA", at positions 252 to 626 of the family's 1831-position model. The record is from RNAcentral. Lineage: Eukaryota; Metazoa; Nematoda.
CUGAAUAACUGAGCAGAUCGCUUCGGUCUCGUACCGGCGAUGUAUCCUUCAAGUGUCUGCCUUAUCAACUUUCGAUGGUAGUUUAUGUGCCUACCAUGGUUGUAACGGGUAACGGAGAAUUAGGGUUCGAUUCCGGAGAGGGAGCCUGAGAAACGGCUACCACUUCUAAGGAAGGCAGCAGGCGCGCAAAUUACCCACUCUCGGCAAGAGGAGGUAGUGACGAAAAAUAACGAGACGAUUCUCUUUUGAGUAUCGUCAUCGGAAUGAGAACAAUCUAAAUCCUUUAACGAGGACCUAGCGGAGGGCAAGUCUGGUGCCAGCAGCCGCGGUAAUUCCAGCUCCGCCAGUGUAUAUCUAUGCUGCUGCGGUUAAAAAG